AUUGAACGCUGGCGGCAUGCCUUACACAUGCGAGUCGAACGGUAACGGGCCUUCGGGUGCCGACGAGUGGCGAACGGGUGAGUAAUACAUCGGAACGUGCCCGAUCGUGGGGGAUAACGAGGCGAAAGCUUUGCUAAUACCGCAUACGAUCUACGGUUGAAAGCAGGGGACCGCAAGGCCUUGCGCGGACGGAGCGGCCGAUGGCAGAUUAGGUAGUUGGUGGGAUAAAAGCUUACCAAGCCGACGAUCUGUAGCUGGUCUGAGAGGAUGAUCAGCCACACUGGGACUGAGACACGGCCCAGACUCCUACGGGAGGCAGCAGUGGGGAAUUUUGGACAAUGGGCGCAAGCCUGAUCCAGCCAUGCCGCGUGCAGGAUGAAGGCCUUCGGGUUGUAAACUGCUUUUGUACGGAACGAAAAGCCUUCUUUUAAUACAGGAGGGUCAUGACGGUACCGUAAGAAUAAGCACCGGCUAACUACGUG
Molecule: ribosomal RNA, 482 nt
Filed under: uncultured bacterium
Lineage: Bacteria
Description: partial 16S ribosomal RNA
Rfam family: Bacterial small subunit ribosomal RNA
Source: RNAcentral